GAUGAACGCUAGCGGCAGGCUUAAUACAUGCAAGUCGUGGGGCAGCAGGUCCCGCAGCAAUGCGGGAUGCUGGCGACCGGCAAACGGGUGCGGAACACGUACACAACCUUCCUUUAAGUGGGGCAUAGCCUAAGGAAACUUGGAUUAAUACCCCGUAACAUAUUGAAAAGGCAUCUUUUUAAUAUUAUAGCAGCAAUGCGCUUGAAGACGGGUGUGCGUCUGAUUAGGAGUUGGCGGGGUAACGGCCCACCAAGCCUUCGAUCAGUAACUGGUGUGAGAGCACGACCAGUCACACGGGCACUGAGACACGGGCCCGACUCCUACGGGAGGCAGCAGUAAGGAAUAUUGGUCAAUGGACGCAAGUCUGAACCAGCCAUGCCGCGUGGAGGAUGAAGGUCCUCUGGA
RNAcentral lists this ribosomal RNA (405 nucleotides) under uncultured bacterium. Its description in RNAcentral is "bacterial SSU rRNA". It matches the Rfam family "Bacterial small subunit ribosomal RNA", at positions 28 to 422 of the family's 1533-position model. The record is from RNAcentral.